This 445-nucleotide ribosomal RNA is filed under the name uncultured bacterium. Its description in RNAcentral is "partial 16S ribosomal RNA". It matches the Rfam family "Bacterial small subunit ribosomal RNA", at positions 354 to 796 of the family's 1533-position model. The record is from RNAcentral.
GUAAGGAAUAUUGGUCAAUGGACGAAAGUCUGAACCAGCCAUGCCGCGUGAAGGAUGAAGGCCCUCUGGGUUGUAAACUUCUUUUAUCUGGGACGAAAAAAGGGUAUUCUUACUCACUUGACGGUACCAGAGGAAUAAGCACCGGCUAACUCCGUGCCAGCAGCCGCGGUAAUACGGAGGGUGCAAGCGUUAUCCGGAUUCACUGGGUUUAAAGGGUGCGUAGGUGGGUAUUUAAGUCAGUGGUGAAAUCUCCUAGCUUAACUCGGAAACUGCCAUUGAUACUAUUUACCUUGAAUGCCCUGGAGGUAAGCGGAAUAUGUCAUGUAGCGGUGAAAUGCUUAGAUAUGACAUAGAACACCAAUUGCGAAGGCAGCUUACUACGGGGUGAUUGACACUGAGGCACGAAAGCGUGGGGAGCAAACAGGAUUAGAAACCCCUGUAGUCC